Molecule: ribosomal RNA, 355 nt
Filed under: uncultured Actinomucor
Lineage: Eukaryota; Fungi; Mucoromycota; Mucoromycetes; Mucorales; Mucoraceae
Description: SSU rRNA
Rfam family: Eukaryotic small subunit ribosomal RNA
Source: RNAcentral
GUAGUCAUAUGCUUGUCUCAAAGAUUAAGCCAUGCAUGUCUAAGUAUAAAUAAAUUUAUAUUGUGAAACUGCGAAUGGCUCAUUAAAUCAGUUAUGAUCUACGUGUCAUAUUCUUUACUACUUGGAUAACCGUGGUAAUUCUAGAGCUAAUACAUGCAAAAAAGCCCUGACUUCGGAAGGGGUGCACUUAUUAGAUAAAGCCAACGCUGGGUAAAACCAGUUUCCCUUGGUGAUUCAUAAUAAUUAAGCGGAUCGCAUGGCCUUGUGCUGGUGACGGUCCACUCGAUUUUCUGCCCUAUCAUGGUUGAGAUUGUAAGAUAGAGGCUUACAAUGCCUACAACGGGUAACGGGGAAU